RNAcentral lists this transfer RNA (74 nucleotides) under Nippostrongylus brasiliensis. It matches the Rfam family "tRNA". From Rfam's summary of the family: Transfer RNA (tRNA) molecules are approximately 80 nucleotides in length. Their secondary structure includes four short double-helical elements and three loops (D, anti-codon, and T loops). Lineage: Eukaryota; Metazoa; Nematoda; Chromadorea; Rhabditida; Heligmosomidae. The record is from Rfam by way of RNAcentral.
GUCUAACUGGCGUAGUGGUUAGCGCACGAGCCCCGGUAAGGCGCGAGACUCGGGUUCGAAUCCCGCCUGAGACG